Oreochromis aureus is the source of this 716-nucleotide long non-coding RNA. RefSeq lists it as uncharacterized. Lineage: Eukaryota; Metazoa; Chordata; Actinopteri; Cichliformes; Cichlidae. The record is from RefSeq and is a predicted model, not a curated record. The transcript has 2 exons.
GUUACGUCUGGAGAAAGGGAGACAUAAUCAGAUCGAAAACAGUGAUGUUCAAAGAGUACCCGAAGCUAGCGUGCAGCUAGCAGGCUGCACUCUGCUGGGACAGGACAAAGGACAAAGGCAUUAUGUUGUUUUUUCUGAAUCUUUGGUUUUUAUUUAGCCUUUUCUCUAUUUUCUUCAGUGAGUCUUAGCUGCACACUGCCUUUGAAACACAUGUUCAACAAGAAGCCACAGAAACCUUUAUCACAUUAAAGUCUCAUUGUUUCUGUACCGAUUUUCAUGUAUUCUCAUGUGUUUGGCUCCCAGAGUGUCGAUUCCUCCUUCUGUCUCAUCUUCCUCUGUUCUCUGUUACCUGGUCUUUCAGAGUACUGUUAGGGUGAUAUUCUGCCAAGUGUGAAGUUGAUGAGCUUCACAGUUACAACAGGUUAACAUUUCUGAAUAACAUGAUGAAAGUACAAGCAUGAACAUUUUAAACAUGUUUUUAUAUUUAUUUAUAUUUCAACAAUAUGUUUGAAUGUUUUAAUCCAGCAGUUUAAGGUCAGGCUCAGACUAAAGUCUGUGCUAAGACGACACCAUUGCAAAAUGUUCAUUUAGUUUUUCAGAGGUGGGCUUUCUGCAUCAUUACCCUGUUGCAUAAUCUGAGUGAGCUAAAGGGCAUGAACUGAUAGCUUCAUAUUCUCCUUCAGGAUUAUCAGAUAGGGAGCAGAAUUCAUGUUCAU